CGGCCCUCAUCUACGGGAGUGUCCGAGGUGAAGAAAUACAGAAACUCGACGACGAAAAGGGGGGCGGGCGGGGGUCACGAGAAGGUGCCGCGCUCGAGGAGGGUCCCGGCACUCCCUCGGAACCACAGAUGUUUUCCUCCUGGCCCUGGGGCGCGGCGCCCCAGCCCCGGGCGUUCCGGCGUUUGUGUGUCCGGGUUUCCGAGGAAGGGAUUACGCAGCGGGAGCAGCCGCGGCAACGCGGGCGUUGGGCCACAGUAGCGGUAAAGCGACGCCUGGCCUUCUUUGUUGACUUUUAGGUCUCGGGCUCAACAGAAGAUUUAUUCGCUAGGAGGGGAAAAUGCCCAAACAAUGAAGAACUAACUGCACUUGUCACCCCGAGAGGCUUGCGGGCCUGCUCUGUCCCUCUUCCCCGGCAACCGGCUGCCUUUGCCCCAAACGGCGCACAACCUAACGCGCGGGGCGCAGAUCACCUCGGCCAGACGUUGCAGAGCGCGCGCAAGUGUGGAGUGGGGCGAUCAAAGUAAAGGCUGUCCAAGUUCAAGCCUUGGCGAGGAUGGAGUUCAUACACAGGGGCUCAGGCAGGCUAGCCUCUGCUUGGGCUGGUGUUGUUAUUGUUGAUGUCAAUCCGAACAAGACUUACAAAGAAAUAGGUGGACUGGAAAGUGAGCCUACUAUCAAAGGAGAUUAAUGAUUUUGUGAUCUCAAGCAACUGUAGGGGUGUGAAGUUGCAUUUAAAAGCUUCUUAGAAGGCAAACAAAUCAGCUUUAAAGUUCUCAGGAAUGAUAUUUUUAGAAACCGUAUUUUUAGAAGUAUCUUCACAAAAUACAAAAUAGCAGCUACCCUGAAAUGUCCUGAUGGCACAAAGCUUCCCCUGCAGGAGUGAAUUAACUUGCCUCCCCUUCACCCCCUCCAAAGCAACCAUGAUGGUUUUGUUUCUCUUUUAAUGGAAAAAAAAAAGAGAGAGAGAGAGAGAGAGUUCAGGAUUCUUUGUUGUGGACAACUUAAUUUUAUCAGCCACAUAUGAUAUUUUAUUCUCCUAGAAUACUUCUCAGAUAAAGGAAAAUUAUACAUUGAAGAAGGGGGCACUGUAGUUAUAUUAAUGAAUUUGAUUUCAUUGUGGACAG
Molecule: long non-coding RNA, 1124 nt
Organism: Leopardus geoffroyi (Geoffroy's cat)
Lineage: Eukaryota; Metazoa; Chordata; Mammalia; Carnivora; Felidae
Exons: 2
Source: RefSeq, a predicted model, not a curated record